CUUCGAUUAUGACGCAAGCCAGAAAUCAAAAGCACCUGAGGUCCUGCUGCAAUCCUGGGACUCCAAGUCAGGGAUCAUAUAGGGCCUCUGGAAGAGCGACUCCUUGACGCACACUGAUCCGCCUCUCACGGCGGCCGGUCCUCCAGGCACCAUCUUCUGCUCCUCUCAACUAGCCUAUCAUCAUCAGUAGUAUUGAAGAACUGCCUGUUCAGAAUUCUCUACAUCAAAGACACUUCUGCAAUUUAAAAAAUACCCAAGAAUCAAUGCAGGACUCCACAUGCAGAAUUGCAAAGGAAAGCGGGGAGUGUGGCUCCUUCCAGCAUCUCUCACUUCACACAGCACCUCUUUAGCAAUGACUGGUGGUGUUUUAUUGGUGGGGAUACACAUUUCUUGUUUCCCAGCCAAACAUAUAUGCACAUCUUUAUGGACACCUGCAACAACUGUGAUUGUCUAAAUAACAACACAAAGGAUAAACAGAGACCCCAGGAAUGGCAGAUAAGGCUCAGUGAAUACAAACGAGCUGACACAUUUUAUAUUUGUUUCCUGGGCUGGGUUCCUGUUCAGUUUGAACCCACAGGCAAUGUUAUGAUGGAAAAUUCCACAACUGGCACACAACUUACAUUCCAAUUUGUAUCCAAGAAUCAAUUUCAGCAAAUGAAACUGGAAUUAAAACACAGAAUCUGAG
RNAcentral lists this long non-coding RNA (685 nucleotides) under Heterocephalus glaber (naked mole-rat). RNAcentral's name for it is "lncRNA (ENSHGLG00100042822.1)". The record is from RNAcentral. Lineage: Eukaryota; Metazoa; Chordata; Mammalia; Rodentia; Bathyergidae.